UACCCCUGGCAGUGGGUAAAGAGACACCUUGUUGGUGAUGAUGUUCUUCUAUCUGUCAGGGGCGGAACAGAUAGCAGUCUUUUGUUCAUCCUAGCUUGGUGCCUGGCUUAGUGGCCAAAGCUGUCUUAUGCCUAGGACAAAUAA
This is a small nucleolar RNA of Meriones unguiculatus (Mongolian gerbil), 144 nucleotides long. The record is from Ensembl. Lineage: Eukaryota; Metazoa; Chordata; Mammalia; Rodentia; Muridae.